Molecule: long non-coding RNA, 270 nt
Filed under: Elaeis guineensis (African oil palm)
Lineage: Eukaryota; Viridiplantae; Streptophyta; Magnoliopsida; Arecales; Arecaceae
Description: long non-coding RNA (EGUI_LNC059700)
Source: RNAcentral
GCUGAUGGGUCAGGGUUUGGCAUUUUGAAAAUAAUUUUCAAAUUUGAAAGGUUUUAUUUUCUGUUCACCAAAUGUGUUGACUCAUUUCACAAAUGGAUCAGCACAUUUCAUAAAUAGAAAUCUUAUUGCUAAUUACAUAACAGAAAAUAACUCAAUCAAAAUAAAUCAUGAAUAUUCCUUUAGAUCUAAUCUAACACAUUCAUGAUAAAUUUUAUAAUUGAACCUUUACAAUUAAGUCCUUUCGCUGCUUCAUCUGCAUGGGAUAUAAUC